RNAcentral lists this ribosomal RNA (326 nucleotides) under Mysmeninae sp. MYSM-001-MAD. RNAcentral describes it as "bacterial SSU rRNA". It matches the Rfam family "Eukaryotic small subunit ribosomal RNA", at positions 1500 to 1824 of the family's 1831-position model. Lineage: Eukaryota; Metazoa; Arthropoda; Arachnida; Araneae; Mysmenidae. The record is from RNAcentral.
CCGGGGCCGCACGCGCGCUACAUUGAAGGAAUCAGCGUGUGAUUUCCCGGUCCGGCAGGACUGGGUAACCCGUUGAACCUCCUUCGKGCUGGGGAUARAACCUUGUAAAUAGUUCUUGAACGAGGAAUACCCAGUAAGCGCGAGUCAUCAGCUCGCGUUGAUUAAGUCCCUGCCCUUUGCACACACCGCCCGUCGCUACUACCGAUUGAAUGAUUAAGUGAKGUCUUCGGACUGGCGCUCGGAUUGGCCUUCGGGUCGAGCCGAAGUGCCGGAAAGAUGACCGAACUUGAUUAUUUAGAGAUAGUAAAAGUCGUAACAAGGUUACC